AAUGAGAUGGUAAGCGGUGCAUGAUCAGUCACAAAGGAGGGAGUAGAGGUGUCUUACACUUGUGGGUUAAGGUUGGGGGAUACAAGAGGAGGACGCAAAGGAGGCUUUGGAUUGGGAAGAAGGGUGGCAAUGAGGUGUGGCUGUAGCCCAGGAAUAGUCAGGGAAGCAGAUAAUUUAGUUAAAGUGUCUCAGCCUAAUAAGGGAACUGGGCAGGUGGGGAUAACUAAAAGGAGUGCUUAAAAGAGUACUGUCUAAUUUGGCACCAGAGUUGGGGAGUUUUAAGAGGUUUAGAAGCCUGGCCAUCAAUACUUACAACAGUUAUGGAGGCAAGGGAAACAAGCCCUUGAAAAGAAGGUGAUGUGGAGUGAGUAGCCUCCGUAUUGAUUAAGAAGGGGAUGGACUUACUUUCCACUGUGAGAGUUAUGCGAAGCUUGGCAUCCCUGAUGGUCUAGGGGGCUUCUGAGGCAAUCGGGCAGCGUCAGUGUUCAGCCACUAAGCCAAGAAGAUCUGGGAAGCAGUCAGCCUUGGGCCAGAGUUCCAGGAGCUCUGGGAGUGGCUGCCAGGCUGGAGUGCAGUGGCAUGAUCACAGCUCACUGCUGCCUUGACCUCCCUGGCUCAAGCAAUCCUCCCACCUCAGCCUCCCGAGUAGCUGGGACCACAGGUACGCACAACCACGCCUGGCUAAUUUAAAAAAAUUGUUUUGGUAGAGACAGGGUCUUGCCACAUUCCCCAGGCUGGUCUUGGACUCCUGGGCUCAAGUAAUCUAGUUGUAAAAAGUUUAAAGCCGGUUUUUAAAAAGCCCAACUUUCAUCAUUGGCAGGAUGUGCGUUCUGAUAAAAUUACUCUUACAACUAGAAACAGAAGACCCUUUCCUUGCAUUUCUAAUUGUUUUGUUCCACUGCGGUAUUUAUAGUUUGAUGAAGAGCAUCUUACCCCUGCACAGUGCUUUUAAACUCUGCUGUGCCUGAUAUGAAUACUCUUAUUUUCUGCUUGUACCCUAUUUUUCUAUCCACUUAUUUUCAGCCUGUCACUUUUAUGAUUAUUACAUCAACAGCAUAUUCCUGGGUUCUAGUUUCAACCCCAAUCUGACCACCUGUCUUCUAAAGAGAAAAAACAGAUUUAGUGUAACAAGGUAUUUCUUGGUUUGUUUAGGAAAGGACACCAAGGUUCAGAAACAAGUGAGAAUUAGGAUUUGAAAGACAAAUGGGCGGGGGGAACUCCUUAGUUUGGCUUUUGAAUUUUUAUUACUUUUUCAGAGAUGAGGUCUCACUGUGUUGCCCCGGCUGGUCUCGAACUCCUGGGCUCAAGCAAUCCUCCCGUCUUGGCCUCCCAAAGCACUGGGAUUACAGGCGUGAGCCACCCUGCCCAGCCUAGAAAGCAUUUUUGACUGAACCAAAAAUGCAAAUCCUCACCAAAAUCUCUCAGUGAAGUCACUAAGCUCCCAUUAGAGUGGAGUGUGGAGAGGCCAAGGGCACUCACCUAGUGCCAAGAUCCCACAGAGAAACAUGAGGCCAGGGCAUGAGCACCUCCUCCCAACAGGACCCCGUGACUGGGCCUUUGAACCAUUAGAUGCAGCCCUGGAGCCGCGGUCAGAGCGUGACUGUCCCCGAGAAGGGAAGCAGCAGCCGGCACGGCCUGUUCUCCCAUCUUCACAUCACUCCCUCCAUACAAACCACUGCUUCCCACCGCCUCCUGUGACAAUGCCUGGCGAGGUGGUCAUGCCCCCUUCAGCCCUCCUGAAGUGCCCUCUGGGAAAUAAGGCACGACGGACAAAUGGAUUCAACAUCCUUUUCUUUUUCUUUUUAAAACUAAACCUUGCUUGAGGGGCAUGGUUUGGAUGAGUUCUCUGACUUCAUCCCUGGAUUAGACAAAUGUCCCCCCCCCGGUCACGGGCAGAGGACUCCAUGAGACGUGUCUAACCCAGGGAUGCAGACUUCCCCCUUCGGCAGGACAGAAAGUCUACUGUGUGGAAGAGGACGAUCCGGAACGUGUCCUCUCCAUGGGCGGGCAAAUCCAGGCUGGAGCCCAGAGCGUGCCCUGCUCCUCGGUCUCUCCUUGGCGGGGUAGGAAAGGCAGUCCCGGGGCCACGGUGCAUGCCAUGGGGGGUGUUCUCCCUCACAAUGCUUUCUAUGCUGCACUUUUAUCUUCUCCUUUUCCUUAGGUCUUCUAAAAGAUUAAGGUGCAAAUCACAUACAAUCAAAUGCAUAGGUCUUAAGUGUAGGUUUUGAUGAGUUUGGACACAUGUAUACGUUCACAUAACCACCAUCACCAACAAGCUGCGGAAGACUUCCCUCACCCCAGAAGGUGUCCCUGUGCUCUUUUCAGCCAAUCCUUCUCUCUUCCCUGCCAGGAGAAAACACUAUUCGAAUUUCUCCCAUCAAUUCGUUUGGUUGGUUUUAGAGCUUCGUAUAGAUGCUUACAUAUCUUACUUCUUUUGCUUAACACAUUUAUUUAUUUAUGAGACAGGUUCUCACUCUUGUCACCCAGGCUGGAGUGCAGUGGCACGAUCUCAGCUCACGGCAACCUCCACCUCCCGGAUUCAAGUGAUUCUCGUGCCUCAUCCUCCUGAGUAGCUAGGAUUACAGGUUUUUGGACUUUACGAUGGCGUUUCGGAAGCAUUAAGCUCUCAGCAGAAGCCACACUCUGAAUUCCGAUCUUUUCCUGGGCUGGUGAUGGAUGCGCAGCACAGUGCCCUCCUGCAGUACUGAGCGGUGGCAGGGAGCAGCAGUCCCAGCCAGCUGUGCCAUCGCGAGGGGAAGUGGCCGGCAUGGAUCUUUUCUCCCCUAUAUCCGAGGUCUGAGUCCUUUGUCAGGACACACAGUGUGAUUUCUUGCCUGGCAUUCCGUUCCUUGCUUGUCCAUUUUCAAGAGCAGAACAUUUUCACGUUGAUGGAAGCCCGAUGUCUUUCUUCUACGGUAUGUGCUCUGCAUCCAAAGCAGCCUUCGCCCAUCCCACAUUUUAGAUAAUUUUUUCUUUUAAAAACUUCACUAAGCGCUCAUGUUUGGAUCUGCAAUCUAUUUUGGAUGAAUUCUUGUGUAUGACGUGCAGUAGGAAAAAAGGCUCAUGUCUUUCCAUACGGAUAGCCAGUUUCAUUCAGACACAGGUGGUGGCCAGACCUGGCACACGGAUGCAGCUGACCCUGGAAGCUGAAGGGCAGUGAAACCCAUCUGAUUAAGAUGCUCAACUUUUCUGAAGAAAAAGCUGACACCUGCCUAAGGUCACACCAUCAUGAGUGGCUGAGUUGGGCUGUGAUGAGCCACCCGGCUGGAGAGCUUGUGCCCUGGUUACACGAUUGCCAGUGAGAUGCCUAUGAACUCGCAUGUAGAGGUGGGUACCCAGACAGCUCAGAGUGAGCUGCCUGCGGGCCCAGCAUGCAGAGGUGUGUACUCAGUGCUGUGUGAGAUGCCUGUGGGCCCAGGCACGGAGGGGGUGCAUGCGUGCCCAGAAAGCAAAAGGCUGUGCAGAGGACCUGCUAGGAGGUAAUGACUAGAGAACAUGUUUUUAAGCAAACAGGUGAAGGGAAAAUGCAAAAUAAGGAGCUACAUAAGCAUCACAUCUUAAGAAUCAUUAUGGAGCACCUAACUGUGACUUGUUGGGCUGGGAGCCAAACAACAUAGGUGGGACACGCUGCACAUAAAAGUAACAAGCUGGAGGUCCAGAGGAACCCUUGGAGCCGUCCCAAGACUGAGAGCCGGUGUCAGGCACCACCUCUUCUGGGCACCUGGGCUAUGGCAGUGGGGAGGAUGAGCCCCUGAUCCCAGAGGCCACUCUCUCACACAGUGCAGUGCAGUCUUUCUCACACAGGACCUAGUGUAACACGGGACCUAAUGGCAGGACACAUCAACCCAUUAAAAAUCCAAGCAAGGUACAAGAGAUUUCUAGAAACAAAGAAUCAGGUUUAUUUUUGUUAUUUUGAAUACAGGUAUUGUAUUGUAGACAUCUGUUAGUCUCAUAAUUCAGUAUGGCCAACACACAGAAAUUAAAAGUAGAAACAAAAUGAGGGCACACUUGCUCCUGUCCUUGGCUUGGCCCCUCCAACCUCCAAAAGAACUGUCCUCCCCAUUGUCAUAUCCUUUCCCUGCUACGAAAGACAAAACAAAAUGCUGCCCCAAAGAAAGAAAAGUCCCAGAGGCUCUCUCCCAGCAGUCAGUGGGAUGAAGCAAGACACUGUUACCUUGGGUAGGAUGGAGAAGCCACCAGGUCCAUAUCACAGAGGCCACAGUGGGAUGGAGAAGCCACCAGGUCCAUGCCACGGAGGCCACGUGUGCCACCAGUGGAGCCAAACCCUGGCCAUGGCUGGCAAAACUCGCCACCAGGCGAGACCAGAGCAUAUUAUCUACCAGUAAUCCCCGAGGUCCAACGCCAUUCAAGUCAGGCAGCCCUGAGGCAAGCAGGAGGAGCCCUGUCCUCUGGGGGUGCUGCUUCCAGAGGAGGCCCAAGGACAGUCUCUUCAGAGAGGGGCUCACCCGGGAAAGGGGGUUCCUGAGGAGGCGUGCAAAGGUCAAGGGACCCACCCUUGCCACCUGUCCCAGGGCUUACUGCUGACUCCACUGUCCUGGGAGUGCUGGAAUCUCCACACCACUUAAAAUGAAAAAGGAAAUCAGAAAUAAUAAGGCAUUAGACGUUUGAUUCUUUUAUUUCCAUAUGCAAUGUAAUGUUUAGGCACGCUGCUUGGGAUGCUAUUUCUAAAAAAAUUAUUGGCCAUUUUUCAGAAUAUCCUUUUGGUUUUAAAUACUGGUCAGGAAAAACAAAUGAUGUAAAAAUACGUGAAUAAUUUUCUAUUACAGAAAUGAAAAACUGAUUUGCAUCUAAAAGUGCAAGAGGUGAAGUAAUUUAACCCUUUCACCAGACGAUAUGGCAAUAUACAAUAUAUUGCUUGAGCUGUUUGAGAAGGCUGUGAUGUAUUUUUGUAUUGACAUAGAAAAUUAUAAAUUACAUUGAAUUAGUAUCCAUAAUCACUAUAUAUAUACACAAACCAGUUCUAAAAAAACACACUGGUUUAAAUUUAUGAGUGAAAACCUCACAAGGUACAGUAAACAAUUAGCAUGCUUCGGUGCCAGAUUUUGAUUUCUACUUUUAAAAUACUAGCCUGUAAAAUGAACGCACUCUAAUUCCAUUAGCAGCACGAGCAUUUUCAACUGACUUGCCUAAUAGGAUUUAUUUUAGGUCUGUUAAAUAUGCAGAUUGCUCUGAAAUGUUCAUUGGUGAUGCUUGUUAACAAGGUAAAUUUUGGUGAAUGGGUUAAAAGGCAGAUGAACUACCAAACGAAACAAAAAAACAAACAAAAACAAAAGCCAAAAAAAAAAAAAAAAAAAAUCCCAAAACACAAGCCAUAUACACUCCAAAUAGUCUAGUGUUUCACUUGUAGGAAUAAUCAUUUCAAGCAAACAAGACUUGAACAGAACAUAUGGCUUUACAAUAACAUCAAUUUAUCAACUAUGAUGUAGCAAUAAAUACUUAAUCUCUACCAAUAGACUUACAUUUUUGAUCCGUUUUAAACAAUACAGAAAACAAUUACCAAUCAAAAACUGGUUAUAAAAAGAACACCAAAUAUUUCUUAUUCAAAACCACUUUUGUAAGUUAGAACAACCAAAAUAACACUUAGAGGGCAUUUUCAUUCUACAACUCCUUGUCGGCCUGGAGGAAAAAUGAAUUCAUAAUUUUGUACAAGGUGAAAAAUGUAUGAAAACCGCCUAAUACUUUGGUCACACUAAUAAUUGUCAAAUAGUUAUGUUUCAAAUACAAUAGAUCUGUGUAUUCACUUUUAUAAAACUAUUCUUACAGCCAUUUUAACUAUAGUAUUACUACUAUUAUUACAUGGGUGGCAAGAUCUUAUUUCACAGGCUACCCAUUAUUUAGAACAAUACAAUAUAAACAUACGCAAAAAUUCUUGGUAUUUGUCAAUGUGCAAUAUUUUUACACUUCUGAAUUUCUCUGUACAAUGUCUUAGAAUCUAGAAUAUAAAGGUUGCUGGUCCUGAUCCCUUGCAGAGUGAGUGCAGCAGUGACAGCUUGGUGGGCUCCAGCUGACCCCUCCAGAGCCCCUGAGUGGUGGCGGUCUGCAGUCCUCAGUCAGCAGCAGCAGACGUCACCCGUCAUACAGGGCCAUUCACUGAAGUGUCACCUGGUGCGCUUGGCUGGCCAGUCCUAAGGAGCAACAGACAGGCAUCGGAGGCACUUGCAGCAGAAAUAUGAAAAACAAAACCUACUUAGCUGAGCUCCCCAAGGGCAGGGACAACUUAUUUUAACAUUGUUUUGAACUUAGUAAGUUUUUAAUAAAAUGAUUGAUUGAUUGAUAUGUAAACGAAUGGAGCAAAAGCUCUAGAAAAAUGUGAGUGCAUCUAAGCUUCAUCACCGGGUGAGCAGGCAUUCAGCAAGGGCAGCAGCAGAGCAAAUGCUCUGGGAGAACCGCCCCACUGCGGCCUCCAAGAAGCACAGGGAGUGACUAGGUCAGUGGGGUAUAAACUGUGGCUUCCAGAGCCUUCAGGAGCUAUGUGUUCACCGUUCCUUCAAGAAAGCUUUUAUGUGACCCACAGAUUGGAAUCCACAUACUAUUUCACUUGGAAACAGGAUUCUGCUACUAGGAAAGGGGGGGAAAAGGGAAAGGAAAGAAGGUUUGCAAAUAAAUUACUGGGAAAAAAAAAAA
Pan troglodytes (chimpanzee) is the source of this 6645-nucleotide long non-coding RNA. RefSeq lists it as uncharacterized. The record is from RefSeq and is a predicted model, not a curated record. Lineage: Eukaryota; Metazoa; Chordata; Mammalia; Primates; Hominidae. The transcript is spliced from 5 exons.